GGCGCACCGCUGGCCGCACUGGGCCGGCUUCAUCCGAACCCCGGGAACCCCCGGGAGGCCCAUCUCGCUGCCCUGGGGCCCUGAGACGGCCAUGAGGCCUGGGCAGCUCCACCAGCAGAGGCCUGCAGGGCGGCCCGGGCGGCCCGCAGCUCCCGCCUCCCCGGGCCUUUGUCCACCACCCUCACACGCGGCCCAGCCGCCGGGGCUGCGCAGCUCUGAGCUCGCCCGGAAUGCUGGAGCCCAGGCCCUCCCGAAACCCUCCACCGAGACCCACCACCUUACCGCCUCUGCCCCGGGGCAAGCCUGUGAGAGGCUGCGUCAGACCGGGUCACUGUCCACGGAAAACCUUCGCUCAGACAGGUCUCCACCAGUCUGGAAGCUCCAGGAGGCCAAGCCUGUGUUCUGCUGGCUGCUGUAUUCCAGGGGCCAGCAGAGUGCCUGAGUGUCCAGGGGUUCAGUAUUUGUGAAAUGGAGGAACGCGUCACCUUAUUACCAAGGCUGAGCCAAGUCUCUGAAACAAGCUCCUGUGGCUCGUGGUUUAACAUGCUCCAUCUGCUCCCAGCCUCUGCCCCAUGUGCCCUCCUCCUAGAACCUCUCCCUCUCGUCUCUGGAUAUUCAGAUUCUUCCAGUUUUCAAAGCCAGGCUCCAGUCAGAGCCUCAUCCAAGAAGCCUCUCCUGCCAGCCCCAGGCCAGUGCCUUGACAUCCUGCAGCCCCUCCUGGCCACUGGGUGUUUCUGGCUCUUCCGCUGGCCUGGAGGCGCCCCCGCCCCACUGCGGGCCAGCAGGUGUAGCUGAGAGAUCACAGACGGGUCGGGCGGGAAGGAGGCAGGAGGGGCAGGUCCCUACUGGGAGGGGGCUGGGGACGGGAUUAACAGCAGCCUUCCAGCCUCCCAAACCCAGCUGGUUCUGGAAAUGAGGGGCUGGAAAAUGUCAGCCUCAACCCUGGUCCAUCCCCCAGCUCUUCCCGGCGGGUGUUGGGGAGGGCGCCAGUCCUGGGCCUCGCUCCCCCAGGAGCUCAGGGCGCCCAGGAAGGAGUCGGGGGAGCGGGGAAUAAAUAGAGGGAAGGGACAGCCUCUGCCUGUCCUCCCCCUUCCCACCCUCCCCCUGCAGGGUGACAAGACAUUUAAUUAUAGAUAUUCGGUACCGCUCAGAAUUCCAAACGUCCUAGUCGCCUCCCCUCCCAGAACCAGUUUCCAUGGAAAAAUCAGAGCAAAGAGCCAAGGAGGGAAAGGAGAGAACCCCACCUCCUGUGGGUUCCUUGCCAAGGAGAGACGGAGAGAAGAAAGGUGACAAAGAGCCACAGCCGGCUGGCCCUGCAAGGCGGGAGCCGGAGGCAGGGGUGGGGGCCGGGGCAGGGUGGUGCAUGGACCUGGCUCUGCCCUGCCCACGAGUGACCCCAAAGUCGGCACUCUCCUUUCUGAGCCUUGAAGCUCUUCCCAUGGCAAACCCAGGCCCCAGUGAAUUAAAUGAGUACCGGGAAGGUGUUCAGGCGGCUGGGGGGGUGCAGGGGACGGCCCCCCGACCCUGCGGCACUCCUCAGAUGGCGGGUCAAUUCCACCAAGAAACAGGGACCCCCUGGGCCCCUUCACCACUAAGACGCUUGAUGAGCUCGUCAAGCCGUGAGGAUCUAGGGUCUGCGCCUCCAAGAACGCGGCCGGGUGAGGUUCUCACAGCUUUCACAUUUGAAGAGUGAAACCUCCAGAGUGUUGGGCAUACAGUCAGUGUUUAAUAAAUGUUAGCCACUGUUCCUAUU
RNAcentral lists this long non-coding RNA (1753 nucleotides) under Sus scrofa (pig). RNAcentral's name for it is "lncRNA (ENSSSCG00005003565.1)". Lineage: Eukaryota; Metazoa; Chordata; Mammalia; Artiodactyla; Suidae. The record is from RNAcentral.